RNAcentral lists this transfer RNA (73 nucleotides) under Paramuricea clavata. It matches the Rfam family "tRNA". Rfam says of the family: Transfer RNA (tRNA) molecules are approximately 80 nucleotides in length. Their secondary structure includes four short double-helical elements and three loops (D, anti-codon, and T loops). Further hydrogen bonds mediate the characteristic L-shaped molecular structure. tRNAs have two regions of fundamental functional importance: the anti-codon, which is responsible for specific mRNA codon recognition, and the 3' end, to which the tRNAs corresponding amino acid is attached (by aminoacyl-tRNA synthetases). tRNAs cope with the degeneracy of the genetic code in two manners: having more than one tRNA (with a specific anti-codon) for a particular amino acid; and 'wobble' base-pairing, i.e. permitting non-standard base-pairing at the 3rd anti-codon position. The record is from Rfam by way of RNAcentral. Lineage: Eukaryota; Metazoa; Cnidaria; Anthozoa; Malacalcyonacea; Plexauridae.
GAACGCGUAGCUCAGUUGGAAGAGCAUUGGGCUGGUAUUCCAAAGGUCGUAGGUUCGAAUCCACCCGUGGCCG